Molecule: long non-coding RNA, 5361 nt
Filed under: Cucumis sativus (cucumber)
Lineage: Eukaryota; Viridiplantae; Streptophyta; Magnoliopsida; Cucurbitales; Cucurbitaceae
Description: long non-coding RNA (CSAT_LNC001761)
Source: RNAcentral
CCACCCAAAUCACUUUCCAAUUGGGUCAUCAUCAACCAACUAGUUCAUUGCAGCUGUACCACAUUUGGGACUCCUAACAACAUGACAUCACAGGUCCAUUACCUCCCAUCACUUUAAUAGACAGGACACAAGGGUAAUUUUCAACUCCCACCCAAGGUUCGUCUCUUCAACCACCAGGAAUUUUCGCGGUAUUACCAAGUACUAAAUGCCUAAGGUCUCAUUAUUUUUAUGCAUAUACUCUCCUUUUCCUAAGUUCGUCUUUUUUUUUUUUUUUUUUUUUUGGGGGGGGGGGGGGGGGGGGGGGGGGGGUAGGAGGGGCUUUGUUUUGUUCUUUCCUGUCAACUGUACAAUACAAUAUUUCUAACCGGUGGCGAGGGGCCUUCCAGGUAUAGAACAAAUAUACGGGGAGAAGUAAGUUAGAGUUAGGAAUAUAUGGGGUAGAAGAGUCGGUUUUUGUGUACCCGUAGUUUACUUUCUCAGAAAUGUUCUUUGUGAAAAUGGAACUUAGUUGGGCCCUUUUGAUUGAAUUCAUAGCAAAGGUUGCUAAGUUCUUUUGCAAGAAUUGGUGCUCCACAGUAGAAUACUCCUGAUCCCAAAUGUCAAACCGAGAAGAAUCAGAUAAAGGAAAUUCAGUUGUUUGUCCUGCUUUUUAUUUUUUGAAGCGCACUCACCGAUUUUGGCACUACAAUGCUUCGAACAAAUUCUGGAGAAAACUUUCUUCCAGUUGGGCCUUGCAAAAUGAGUUCUUACCUGACCAGAUCAUGGAAAGUAAAGGGCCUUUCAGAAGUUGGAAAGUUUUUUAAUAAGAAACAAUUCAAUUUCGAUGAUAGUACGAAGAUGGGAAAUUAGCUAUUAUCAUUUAGAAAACUGAAUGUGCAAGAAGAACCCUUUGAUUAGUUUGAAACUCAAUUGGUACAUGGUACCAGAAACAAGAUGUACUCCAAAAUUAAGAAGCCAAACUUAAGUCUUAAAUAGUAGAAAUUUACCCUGGUGCCAGAAACAAUAUCCAUUCCAUUUUUUGCAUGAUUUAGUGCUUGGACCAUCGUAAUGAGGGCUGAUCUAGCGUCUCCUUCCUCGUACACACUGGUUAGGUAGUUGUGCAUCUCAAUGACACCCUGAGUUUCAAGUCACGAAGUUAAAAAAAUGAAUCCAUAUAGACAUGAUAGUCCAAUUAAAGCUCAAUAUUACCCUUUGAUCCAUCUCAGCGACUUCAUUCAUGACCCCUUUGAACCAGUCAAACGAUCCCUGCUCCCUAGUUACCCAGUAAAAGUAAGCAUUAGUUGUCUUCAGAAUCUUCUUUCGCUUGGGAGAAACUCUGGCAGACGAGGAAGAAUCCGUGCUUCCAAAACUAAGAUCUGACUCUUUACCCCCAUCUGCUAUUGAAUCCUGAGGAAGGGAAAGCUCAAAUAUUAUCGUAUGAGUGAUAUGUUUAAAGAGGAAAGGAAAAUUUGACUAGAAAAAUAUUUAUGCAUAAAACUAUGAACAAAGGUUUGGUUACUUAAAUAGGCAUGUAAUAGAUGAAAAAUAAGAAUGAUCAAGUGAUGCAUGCAGGCACUUACUGCCUGCUCCUCCAUUUUGACAAUGUUGUUAAGCAAAUCCUUCAAAAUGCUAAUGAAAGGUGUUGCUCCAAUACCAAGACCAACAAGUAAUAGAACAUCAUAAUUUCUGUAGUCUUGUGCAGGUGCACCAUAAGGUCCAUCUAUUAAGAGCUUGGGCAAACUGCAAAGCAUUGCAUGAGAAAUGGAUUCAUUAAGAAAAUGCCACAGAGAUAGAACCAGAAUUCGGAAAGAAAGAAGUUCUAAGAUGUACAAACCAUUUUUUGGUCGUUUCAUCAGCCCUGAGCAACCCACUCUUCCCAGCAACUGGUGGCUCACAAGCUUCAGCAAAUACCCUCUUUAACUCUUGUGUCCAAUCACCCAGCUGCCGUAUGUGAACACUCAGAUAGUCAUCCCCUGGAGCAGAAGUAAUCGAAAACGGAUGCCUGCAUGCAAAGACAAUAGACACCAUAGCACGUUAACUCUUAUUAAUGGAUUCUUGAAAAGUAGUGACAAGCUCGUGAUGAACUAGACAGAGCAUAAUGGACAAUUGGACAUGAAUACUAAAUUAGAUAUAACUAUCGAAUCAGUCGCUCCCAAGUUUGAUAACUCAUAGAAGCCAGCAAUUGAGAGUUAUAGUGAAGUUCAUUCGUUAAUAAUAUACAAAAGAGAAAUGCCAGCGCAAAGAUGAAAUUAACAGGACUUUUCUUUACAAAAUUAUAUUUCACAAGAGUUAUAAUAGUAUUUACCAUUCAAAUGGAGAGACAGCGGGGCAUUGGACAAACAUGUACUGCCCACUCUUAUAACGGAACUGAGGAGGUUUAGACAUUUGUAAUGCAAGAACAUUCCCCGGGUAAAUAGCAACCUAGAUAUAGAAAAAUGAAACGAUUGGAAGGCAAAGAAUUUGAACUCUAAUCCUGACUAGUUAGACAUGAAAUCAGAGUGAAAUAGAUUAUGUGGCAGUGGCAGUAAGGAUAGAAACCUUGAGGAGUCGAACACUGUAAAAUCCUGAGCGGAAGAAUCUAAGGGUCCUUUCCCCAGCAUAUAGUAAAAUUGGGACGGCCAGAUACAUCCAAGUCUGCAUGCAAUAAAGCGAUAACCUGAGCAAACAUUUCUAGUUGGUACAAAAUAAGUUCCAUGUUCAAUCAAUAGAUAAAGUAUUAGAAGGGAAGUAUCAUUCAUACUUACCGUCUUACGGUACCAUCUGUGUUCGAGGUAGAGGUAUACGCCAUGGAUGACGAGUAAGACGUAAACAAUGAAAAACAGGUGGUGUGAAUACCAGAAGGCAUUGAAACCCGUCAGCCUAUCAAACGGCUUGGGCAGCUUAAUCAGGCUCCUCCUGAACCAUCGGGUAGCUAGAGUGAAUGCUACUGUCAUCAAGAUGACCAUUAGUAUACCAGUCACACCUUCCCAUCCCUUAACCAAGUCUAGGUAGGUAGGCUUGUUUGGUCCGAAGUAAUCCGUCACAUAAUUAUAGUUUUCAUCUGAUGACUGUACGAGUCUUGGAAAAUCACAGGCAAGGUGGUUCCCUACAUGGAGAAUGACGCCAACUACAAUAGCUGCCGCAAUCGUCUGCAGGGCACAAAAUCGAAUUUAGAAAUCUCACAUACUUGAUAUUGUAUAUUUCACGUACUCUCCUAAGACAAGCUAAAUUCAGGACAUCCAAAAAUUACAUUCAUUUUUCUCCUCCCGGUUUACUUUCUAUAGUCACUUUGUCAUUUGCCCUUGAAAACUAGUAAAAAGACUCAUAUUUUUCAACCUACUCAAUCAUCAAACUAGUUUUUCACGUAAACUCUUCUUUUUUCAAUCUUGUAAAAUAUUUUGAGUUUUUCUAUUGUGAUAGGGUAGUUGGGGUAAGAUGAGUGACUAUGCACGGUUAAAUGAUAAUGCUUUAUUUAAGAAACACACGAGGUUGACCACUAAACUAAAAGUCUUCCUGAAUAAAGCCAAGCAAUUGUGAGGGAAUUUAUAAGUGAGGAAUCUGAUUAGUGUGUACCUUAUGAAAAUUGAUAUUGUCGUCGAAUGGUACAAAAAAUCCCAGCCUGGUCGACCUUAUCCAAGUGAUGGUAUUUCUACAUACGGGCAGCAAAAUGAUAGCCAUGUUGAACUUCAGGGUCUCAGCCGCACCCUUAGCCGUUAGGAGACAGUAACCCAUGACCUUGUAGGCUUGCUUAUGCUUGUACUGGAAGAACUUCCACGUGAAAAGCCCAACCAAUAUCAUGAUCCAUAACGUCAGCACCCAUAUUCUCCUCCAAUUCUCCUGCAAAUAGUAGAGCAGUUUUGUUCUUAUCCUUGUUAUGGGGCCUUUGUUCCUUAGUCCCUGUAUGUUCUGGCUCAAUGCUUGGCUGGUAUAGCUGAGGGCUUGACUGUAGUUCAGAUACGUAUCCUUUUGUAGCAAAAGGGUUUCCAAUUGCCACAGCUGCACCACCAUAAUCAACACAAAGAUUGAAAAUUCGUAAAUAUUUAAAUCAUAUGAUAAAAGGGGUAUUUGAGAUGAUCUGAAUCUUGGACAAAACCCGUUGUUAUUAAUGUUUCAAAGCGCCAAGUUUUUCUUUUGAUCUGCAAACCAUAGGGGGUAUCUUGGCACCAAUUUACAAUAUAGCAAUAUUAUGGACUCACGUUCCUCAGUAAGUUAACCAUCGUUUACCCAUCAACCCUAUGAUUACUGACAAAAUUCCAUUUACAAGCCAAAAAUAAAAAGAGUAACAUUUGGGCACAUCAUAAUAGACUACACCUAUUAAUUUUGUGGAGACCACUUCAAUCAAAAAAUAAAAAAAGAAAAACUCAAAAUAUGAAAAAGAAAGAAAACAAAGAGUCUGUCACGUAGUAAAUUGAGGUAGGAUAAUUGAACAAGCUGCACAAAUGAGUCGAUACAAAUACCAUCAACAGAAUAUUUUUCAAAUAAAAAUGGUAAAACUAGCCAACUUAACCACAACUCAACUAGUCAAUGCAAAUACCAUCAACUAAGAAGUAGGUUCAAGCUCUCACUGACCACUGUUAACUCAAAUUACUAGAUCUUUCAAUGUGUACAGUACAAGGGAUUUGGGCAAGGCAACCAACUCUGCUUCAAAGUAAUUCAUGUCAAUAAUGUGUGUUAUAGGCUCCUAAAAAUGUUAAUCUUGACUAAAGAGACACAAAGAAUCAUACUGUUCAGCUACCAAAAAUACUCACGUAGGACAACCAACCUAAUACAUGUUAAUAACCUAUGUUAUAGGCUGCUAAUGAAUGUUAAUGACUAAAGAGAUACAAAGAACCAUACUGUUUACUCACGGGCACGAGAUGAGCAAAUUUGUCAACAAUGAUAGAGUCAAUUAUUAUGCGGUGUGCUCCGUCUACUUAAUAUUAUUGAAAAAUGGCUAGGGCUCAAGAGUAGCACAGAAGACUUGAGUACUGUUUGAGAGUGCUUUUUGGAGAAACCGUUGUAUUUGAGAAUUAUUUCAAUUAUUCAAGGAUUUUAUUGAGUACUUAUUCUUAUUAUUUGUCCCCACUUAUUUGUUGUUUUGAUGGGCAUUUGAAUAUUCAUUUUCAAAUCAAACGCAAUUUUGAAAUACAAAACCAAUAAACAAAAGUUCAGCAUCCAAACACGUCUUGUUGAAAAAAUAAAAUUCUGUUUUAAGAAGUCAACUAUAAUUGCUUACAGCAUCUUUGAACAGUCUGACAUACACCAAGUUCUUCACCGGGGUCGGUGGAAAUAUUUUUCUUUUCCUUUGAGAUAAAUGGGUGUGUUUCUUAAACUAACGUUGUAAGAAAAUAUACUUCAUUUGAUAAUAUUUUUAUAUUUUGAAGGAAAAUACUAUUUUUUUUGGGUAAUAAAAGAAAAUACUCG